UUUGCGCGCAGGGACUGCUUCCACCUGGACGCAACUCGUGCGGUGCGCAGGCCUGUCCCCUGGGACUCGUGUUUGCUGCCUCUCACCCCCUAGACGGGCCCUGCGAGCCCCCUCGGCCUGCCAGGCCACCUUCCCCAGGCCCACCUGGAGUCCCUUUUCCUUCACUCGCUCCCUGCCCAGCCCCGAACCCGGGGCCUCCACGGCCUGUGCCAGCCUGGGCUCCCACUAACGGGAGCUGGGGCUGCACCUGUGACUUCCCCCAGCCUCCGGCCUCGGGGACCCAGACCCAUGGCUCUACGCGGGCCCUCCUUUCAGCCCACCCCACCCGCCCCCACCCCGGCUGGAGGAGA
Molecule: long non-coding RNA, 350 nt
Organism: Myotis brandtii (Brandt's bat)
Lineage: Eukaryota; Metazoa; Chordata; Mammalia; Chiroptera; Vespertilionidae
Exons: 3
Source: RefSeq, a predicted model, not a curated record